UGAAUACGAGACGCUACGGCGUCGAAGCAGUCUAUGUCAUACUUCCAAGAAAAGCUCGCAAUGUCAUAAACAAAUAAUGCCUGUACCAUAACCGACACAGGUGGGUAGGUAGAGUAUACUAAGGGGCGCGAGAUAACUCUCUCUAAGGAACUCGGCAAAAUGACUCCGUAACUUCGGGAGAAGGAGUGCCUUAUUUAUAAGGUUGCAAUAACAAGAUCCAAGCAACUGUUUAUCAAAAACACAGGUCUCCGCUAAGUCGUAAGACGAUGUAUGGGGGCUGACGCCUGCCCAGUGCCAGAAGGUUAAAGAAGUUGGUUAGCAUUCGCGAAGCUGAUAACUGAAGCCCUGGUGAACGGCGGCCGUAACGAUAACGGUCCUAAGGUAGCGAAAUUCCUUGUCGGGUAAGUUCCGACCCGCACGAAAGGCGUAAUGAUUUGGAUACUGUCUCGGAGAGGGGCUCGGUGAAAUAGACUUGUCUGUGAAGAUGCGGACUACCUGCACCUGGACAGAAAGACCCUAUGAAGCUUUACUGUAACUUGAAAUUGAAAUUGGACUUUAUUUGCGCUGCAUAGGUGGGAGGCGUUGAGAGUAUUCUUGCGGGAAUAUUGGAGCCAUCAGUGAGAUACCACUCUUGUAAUGUUAGAUUUCUAACUUUGGAUCAUUAUCUGGUCAAAGAACAGUUUCAGGCGGGCAGUUUGACUGGGGCGGUCGCCUCCCAAAUGGUAACGGAGGCGUACAAAGGUUUCCUCUGAACGGGUAGAAAUCGUAUCUAGAGUGUAAAGGCAUAAGGAAGCUUGACUGUGAGACCUACAAGUCGAGCAGGGACGAAAGUCGGUCUUAGUGAUCUGACGGUGCUGAGUGGAAAGGCCGUCACUCAACGGAUAAAAGUUACUCUAGGAUAACAGGCUGAUCUCCCCCAAGAGUUCACAUCGACGGGGAGGUUUGGCACCUCGAUGUCGGCUCAUCGCAUCCUGGGGCGGUAGUACGUCCCAAGGGUUGGGCUGUUCGCCCAUGAAAGCGGUACGCGAGCUGGGUUCAGAACGUCGUGAGACAGUUCGGUCCAUAUCCGGUGUAGGCGUUAGAAUAUUGAGAGGAGCCUUCUUUAGUACGAGAGGACCGAGAAGGACAUACCUCUGGUGUACCAGUUAUCGUGCCAACGGUAAACGCUGGGUAGCUAUGUAUGGAGAGGAUAACCGCUGAAAGCAUCUAAGUGGGAAGCCCACCUCAAGAUAAGUAUUCUC
Molecule: ribosomal RNA, 1241 nt
Filed under: metagenome
Description: bacterial LSU rRNA
Rfam family: Bacterial large subunit ribosomal RNA
Source: RNAcentral